Molecule: ribosomal RNA, 253 nt
Filed under: uncultured bacterium
Lineage: Bacteria
Description: partial 16S ribosomal RNA
Rfam family: Bacterial small subunit ribosomal RNA
Source: RNAcentral
UACGUAGGGUGCAAGCGUUAAUCGGAAUUACUGGGCGUAAAGCGCGCGUAGGUGGUUUGUUAAGUUGAAUGUGAAAUCCCCGGGCUCAACCUGGGAACUGCAUCCAAAACUGGCAAGCUAGAGUAUGGUAGAGGGUGGUGGAAUUUCCUGUGUAGCGGUGAAAUGCGUAGAUAUAGGAAGGAACACCAGCGGCGAAGGCGACCACCUGGACUGAUACUGACACUGAGGUGCGAAAGCGUGGGGAGCGAACAGG